This 262-nucleotide ribosomal RNA is filed under the name uncultured bacterium. RNAcentral describes it as "partial 16S ribosomal RNA". It matches the Rfam family "Bacterial small subunit ribosomal RNA", at positions 526 to 779 of the family's 1533-position model. The record is from RNAcentral.
CGAAGGGUGCAAGCGUUAAUCGGGAAUUACUGGGCGUAAAGACGCGCGUAGGUGGUUCAGCAAGUUGGAUGUGAAAUCCCCGGGCCGUCAACCUGGGAACGUGCAUCCAAAACUAACUGAGCUAGAGUACGGUAGAGGGUGGUGGAAUUUCCUGUGUAGCGGUGAAAUAGCGUAGAUAUAGGAAGGAACACCAGUGGCGAAGGCGACCACCUGGACUGAUACUGACACUGAGGUGCGAAAGCGUGGGGAGGCAAACAGGAUU